Molecule: ribosomal RNA, 301 nt
Filed under: uncultured bacterium
Lineage: Bacteria
Description: partial 16S ribosomal RNA
Rfam family: Bacterial small subunit ribosomal RNA
Source: RNAcentral
CAGUCGCCGCGGGAAUACGUAGGUGGCAAGCGUUGCCCGGAAUUAUUGGGCGUAAAGGGCUCGCAGGCGGUUUCUUAAGUCUGAUGUGAAAGCCCCCGGCUCAACCGGGGAGGGUCAUUGGAAACUGGGAAACUUGAGUGCAGAAGAGGAGAGUGGAAUUCCACGUGUAGCGGUGAAAUGCGUAGAGAUGUGGAGGAACACCAGUGGCGAAGGCGACUCUCUGGUCUGUAACUGACGCUGAGGAGCGAAAGCGUGGGGAGCGAACAGGAUUAGAGACCCCCGUAGUCCCUGUCUCUUAUAA